Molecule: long non-coding RNA, 793 nt
Filed under: Helianthus annuus (common sunflower)
Lineage: Eukaryota; Viridiplantae; Streptophyta; Magnoliopsida; Asterales; Asteraceae
Description: hypothetical non coding rna
Source: RNAcentral
UUUCUGUUCUGGACAGGGAAUAGUGCCAUCUACAUAGCCAAAUAAGUUGUGAGAAGUGAGGAAAGACUCAAUCAUUGAUCUCCAAUAACCAUAAUUUGUAGGUUUUAGGGUAAAAGCAAAUUUAUGAGAGUUUUAGGUAAUCAGAGAGGGUUGAUCGCCUGGAAUUGAUUUGGCGGCAGUAGGGUUUUUGGCCGCAAGUUUGAUUUGGCGGCAGUAGGGUUUUUUUUUUUUUUUGCCGCGGGUUUGAUUGGCUCUGAUACCAAGUCAAACUAUGUGAAAAGGAUAUUUGUUUAUGUAUCAUUGAAAUACUGAGAAUACAAAGCCCUAUAUAUAUAGAGUUGGAAAUUACAAUUAGAUACCCUCUACAAUAAUAAGUUUGUCUAAUAAUAAGAACAUAGUCUAACAAGGGGAGUGUUAGAAUAGAUAUACUAAUAUAAUAUUAUAAGAUAUCCUUAUCUAGACUAGAUUCCCUGGAUUGUACAAGUUGGCUAGUUGCAUCCAAGUGGCUACCAAGUUGCUUAGCUAGAUUAGAUUUAGUUUUCCUAUAAAUACCUUGUAACUUCAUUCAAUAUACAUCAAGUGAAUACAAUGUAGUCUUUUAACUCUCUUUGUUUGUUAGUGGGGUUUUCACCCCAUUGGUUUUGUAUUCCUUCUUUGAGUUUAAGUUCGGAGUUAAUUAGAGUUCGAAUGUAAUGUUUAAGUUAAUCAUAGUUAUCAAAGGCGCUUAGACUCCGUCUAGGGCGUAGGCGAAAGGCGCAAAAAAGCCGUGGGCCUAAGAAAAAAAAAGUGCACU